GGGGACGACAUGGCUUCGACGCUGGUAACAAAACCAAAGGUGCAUGCCGAGUGUAUAGUGGCACUCGUACUCCAAUCGCUAUAACUCAUAGUUGCAAA
Molecule: transfer-messenger RNA, 98 nt
Filed under: Oleiphilus sp. HI0132
Lineage: Bacteria; Pseudomonadati; Pseudomonadota; Gammaproteobacteria; Oceanospirillales; Oleiphilaceae
Description: partial transfer-messenger RNA
Rfam family: transfer-messenger RNA
About the family: Bacterial tmRNA, also known as 10Sa RNA or SsrA, is named for its dual tRNA and mRNA-like properties.
Source: RNAcentral